AUGCUUAACACAUGCAAGUCGAACGGUAACGCGGGGGCAACCCUGGCGACGAGAGGCGGACGGGUGAGGAACGCUUGGGAAUCUGCCCAUCAGCGGGGGACAACCCGGGGAAACCCGGGCUAAUACCGCAUACGCUCUACGGAGGAAAGCCGGGGACCGCAAGGCCUGGCACUGAUGGAUGAGCCCAAGUCGGAUUAGCUAGUUGGCGGGGUAACAGCCCACCAAGGCGACGAUCCGUAGCUGGUCUGAGAGGACGAUCAGCCACACUGGGACUGAGACACGGCCCAGACUCCUACGGGAGGCAGCAGUGGGGAAUAUUGGACAAUGGGGGAAACCCUGAUCCAGCGACGCCGCGUGGGUGAAGAAGGCCUGCGGGUUGUAAAGCCCUUUCGGUAGGGACGAGAGCUCUCGACCUAACACGUCGAGAGGAUGACUUAACCUACAAAAGAAGCACCGGCUAACUCUGUGCCAGCAGCCGCGGUAAUACAGAGGGUGCGAGCGUUAAUCGGAAUUACUGGGCGUAAAGCGCACGUAGGCGGCUUGGCAUGUCGGGUGUGAAAUCCCCGGGCUCAACCUGGGAACUGCAUCCGAAACUGCCUUGCUAGAGUAUGGGAGAGGGAAGUGGAAUUUCCGGUGUAGCGGUGAAAUGCGUAGAUAUCUGAAGGAACACCAGUGG
RNAcentral lists this ribosomal RNA (676 nucleotides) under uncultured Gammaproteobacteria bacterium. RNAcentral describes it as "bacterial SSU rRNA". It matches the Rfam family "Bacterial small subunit ribosomal RNA", at positions 44 to 715 of the family's 1533-position model. Lineage: Bacteria; Pseudomonadati; Pseudomonadota; Gammaproteobacteria. The record is from RNAcentral.